This 403-nucleotide ribosomal RNA is filed under the name Verrucomicrobiota bacterium. Its description in RNAcentral is "Verrucomicrobia bacterium partial 16S ribosomal RNA". It matches the Rfam family "Bacterial small subunit ribosomal RNA", at positions 355 to 776 of the family's 1533-position model. The record is from RNAcentral. Lineage: Bacteria; Pseudomonadati; Verrucomicrobiota.
UGGGGAAUAUUGCACAAUGGGCGCAAGCCUGAUGCAGCAACGCCGCGUGAACGAUGAAGGUCUUCGGAUCGUAAAGUUCUGUUGCAGGGGAAGUUAAUGACGGUACCCUGUGAGGAAGCCCCGGCUAACUACGUGCCAGCAGCCGCGGUAAUACGUAGGGGGCUAGCGUUAUCCGGAUUUACUGGGCGUAAAGGGUGCGUAGGUGGUCCUUCAAGUCGGUGGUUAAAGGCUACGGCUCAACCGUAGUAAGCCGCCGAAACUGGAGGACUUGAGUGCAGGAGAGGAAAGUGGAAUUCCCAGGGUAGCGGUGAAAUGCGUAGAUAUUGGGAGGAACACCAGUAGCGAAGGCGGCUUUCUGGACUGCAACUGACACUGAGGCACGAAAGCGUGGGUAGCAAACAGG